This is a long non-coding RNA of Octopus sinensis (East Asian common octopus), 283 nucleotides long. RefSeq lists it as uncharacterized. The transcript has 2 exons. Lineage: Eukaryota; Metazoa; Mollusca; Cephalopoda; Octopoda; Octopodidae. The record is from RefSeq and is a predicted model, not a curated record.
GUAAAUUUAAAUGAAUGAAGUGAAACAUUGGAAUAGGCAAUAUAAAAAGGAAAAAUCAUUAAUGAAAUUAUCAAUAAAAUUUUUUUGCAAAAAUAAAAAAAAAUGGUAUAUUACUACUGUAGUUCAGUGAAAAUUCAACAAUGAAAGGUUGGGGUUUAUGGUUUGAGUUAGGGUUUAGGAUUCAGUCCGACCUGGGGUUAAUCAAUUAGUAACAUUUUUCUACAGCAAAUGAAUAACAAAAUCAGAUUCAGUGUGAAAAAUUACAUCAGUAUACCAAAUUUGA